UCACCUCGUGGUAGGUCAUGCCCUUUU
This 27-nucleotide small RNA is filed under the name Bombyx mori (domestic silkworm). Its description in RNAcentral is "ovarian small RNA-25198". The record is from RNAcentral. Lineage: Eukaryota; Metazoa; Arthropoda; Insecta; Lepidoptera; Bombycidae.